Molecule: ribosomal RNA, 253 nt
Filed under: uncultured bacterium
Lineage: Bacteria
Description: partial 16S ribosomal RNA
Rfam family: Bacterial small subunit ribosomal RNA
Source: RNAcentral
UACGAAGGGGGCUAGCGUUGUUCGGGAUCACUGGGCGUAAAGCGCACGCAGGCGGAUCGAUAAGUCGGGGGUGAAAGCCCGGGGCUCAACCUCGGAAUUGCCUUCGAUACUGUCGGUCUCGAGUCCGGGAGAGGUGAGUGGAAUUCCUAGUGUAGAGGUGAAAUUCGUAGAUAUUAGGAAGAAAACCAGUGGCGAAGGCGGCUCACUGGCCCGGUACUGACGCUCAGGUGCGAAAGCGUGGGGAGCAAAUAGG